ACAGCUUUGCUCCCUUAACUCCUGGAUCUUUGUUUUGGUGGCGACCAGGGAGAGCAGGGAGCGCUGUGCUCGCAUUUCCCUCUGGCUUUUACACACGCACACACACGCACACACACAAAUCCCCUUUUCCAACUUUCUGCUUUUUGCGCUUCCCUUCCAGUUUUUUCACUUCUCAGACCUACUGGCAGCAUUUGCCGAGAUCUAGAUCCCCGUCGUGGGACCUUGGAGUUUCUGGCAGAUAUUCCUCAGGCUGGAAUCCAGACAGCUUGUCUGAGCACGGAGAAACUACUCGCCUUCAGUCCUCAAAAUAUUAGCAAAAGACACUGUAUUUGCUGCUCCUUGGAUAAAAGCAUCCCUAAUGAGUCAACAUUGCUAUUCAUCUCAUGUGACUGCAGCCAAUCUUGACUGCCAGGUGAGAUGCGAUGUUGAAACAGAGAAACCAUCUCAAGGAAAUACAAGCUCUCAAAGCGUGAAUGGCUCUGCGGAUCAGAGAAGGCAUUUUGAAUUACACCUGGAAAUGAAGCGGGGAGCAGCCGAGUCCCCAGAGCACGGGUGCAGGGAUGGGGAGGAGGAGCGGUGGCAGGGCCGGCGGUGCCACCCUCGCCGAUGAGGCUCUCGCAGGUCGGCUCUGCGCACAUCGGGGAUGAUUGGGAGCAGCUGCAAGCUGAGCCCAGUGCAGCGCUCCCAAUACAUUCCAGAUGAUGAAUAUGAUGCAGGCUUACUGGAAGAAAAAUAUAUUUCUGAAGAGAAAAACAAUUACUUCUCAAGGCAAGACAAUGAAGCUGAACCGACGCUACGUGGGCAUAAAAUAGAGCAGAACUUUUGGGCAAUGGCUUUAGCUUCUAAUAAAUCACCCACCUGGAGAUACUUUUGCAGAGUGAGCUUGGAUGUAUCAGACCUCAAGUAUUUUCAGAGGUAUAUAAAGUUGAAAAAUUAGUCAUUUAAACCUUUAUUUUUCCCCAAAGGGACGGACACUUUGUUGUGUCAUAGCCUCCCAUUUUCAUGUUAGCAGAAAGGUGCCCUUGCAAGUCCAAACAACACGUGGGCUGUCUCAUGGAAGUUAUGAAAAAAGGCUUGGAAACACCACUUGAUACAGUGGGUUUCACUGGCUGAAUCUUCAGAGGGGACUUGAACGAAAUUUGCAAAAACAUGUCAAAAGUUAAGUGGCGAAAAUCAGCUUAAAUGCCUAAUUUUAAUUUUGUUUGUGCUCUUUGUUGUUUCAUUGUGGAGGGAGGGAAGAAGCUGUCUUUUUUUCUCCCCGUCCUUUCAUUUUGUUUGGGAGAAAAUGGAUGUUGGUGAAAAGAAGAGAGCUCUGGCAGGGACUGGAAAGUGGUUGUUUAUUCUGUUUUGUUUUCUUUAGAAAGGGGCAACUCUUCUAAAACUGGUGAUGAUCCAGUUAAAGGGGGACUCCGGGUGGGGAAGAGAAAAGAAAACUAAUAAUCAGCUUCUAAAUGACAAGUUUUCUCUUGAACAAAAGAGCAACAGGAGGCAGUGCAGGCAGGGGGUCAGUGCCCAGGGGUAACGUGACCAAAACAAUGGCUGGAGAAUGUGUGCAGCUUUUGCCACUCCAGAAGCUGCUGCCCCAGUGCCCUCACUGAGGGCCUGCAAGGGUCAAACCUGAUCCAGUGCUGGGCAAGUGUGGUGCCACUUCUGGAGUCCUCCAAAGAGGAGGCAAUGACUGACUGUGGGUAAUGCAAGCAGGAAUUGAAGAAUUCCCAGGGAAUCCCCCCAGUUCUGAAUGACAGUGUGACUGAACAGCCCCAGCCAAUAAGGCAGGGUCCCUACCAGCAGUGGGGCUAAAGGCGGGGUUUAAAGUGACUUCUGUUAAAGAUGGAGACUGCUUGGCAUCAUCUGUGCUUCCCUUGCACUUGGUUAAUUGCCUGUUGGGGAAAGGCAGUGGUGCUGGAUAAACUGAAGCGAGAUGAUUUCAAACUAUUAUGAGCGUUCACGCAGAAGUUCAUUCUGGUUUAGACUAAAUUGGUUUUAAUUUCAAUUCAUGUAACUUCCGUGUGGACGAGGCCUAUGACUUGCCAUUUUGCAGCAAUGGUGAAUUUAUAGCAUAUGUGCUGCAAAUGGUCUAUCAUGCAAAUUCUCCUGGUAUUUGCUCCAAGUCCAGUUCCAGCUGUCGGUGGAGAUGGAGGAGCAGAAUAGACCACUCACACAGCCUCCCAUGUAAUGCAGAUUGGAUCCAUUGUCAGUCAGAUGGACUGGUGGUGUGGGAGCAGUGUGAAGCCAGUUCUUUCACUACAUGGUGUGUAAAGCAAUGAGGCAGACAAAAGCUGGAUUUAAAUUAGGGAAUAUUUCUGCCAAAUUUCGUUCUCUGAAGCAGAAAAAUAAAACACUUAAUGUGUCUGGCAAUGUUUAUUCUGUGCACAGGGUUUUAGCUGAUCAUAAAAGAAGAGCUACGUGUGAACAUUAUCUGGCAGCUUCAUCAUAUUCUGAGGAGAUGAGAGAGUAUGAGUCCACCAUGGUCUGAGAAAGUAUCGACUGAGAAAGUGGAAACAAUUUGGCAGGAAAACAAGAUGGCAAGAGAAAAAGAAAAAAAAAUAGGUUCUUUUCGAUUAGGUAGGAAUUACCAGUUAUAAUGACAGCAAAAUUGUAUCUGCCACAAAAGCUCCAUUUUGAAAGUCCUUGAUGUCCUCAGUGUCCUGCUCAAUGGCCAGAGGCUUCCUACUUUGCCUUCUUGCUGCUUAUUCAAAGAAAGGCAACAUCUGAAUGGUCGGAAAAUAUAUGUGCUGCUCAUGCAGUAACUGCACGUGCAUGAAAAUAAAAGAAUUCCUUGCCUUUGCGCCAUGGGUAUCUGUGCUGAUAAGGAGGCAGUAACCCUCAUUACAUGCAUAUUUGAAGACUUGGCCCUGAAUUCUACUGGUGAACUAUUUUCCAUGAGUUUUCCACUGUAUCUUCUUAGAGGUUUGUGCUCCAAUCAUCCAAUACCUUGACAGAAAUAGAAGACUGUGUUAAAAAUAAUCCAAAGAAAUAAUACAAGACCACUUUUAAUUCAAAAUUUUUGAAAGAACAAGUAUCAGCUAAUGUGAAUGAAAACAUAGUUGUGUAAUCCAAGUAAGAAGAAUGUCAAGAAUAACAACUUUGUAACUGGGUUUGGAAAAACAAACAAUUCUUUCCUUUCUUUGCAUAAUAAAUAUGA
Zonotrichia leucophrys gambelii is the source of this 3145-nucleotide long non-coding RNA. RefSeq lists it as uncharacterized. The record is from RefSeq and is a predicted model, not a curated record. NCBI's taxonomy places the organism in Eukaryota, Metazoa, Chordata, Aves, Passeriformes, Passerellidae. The transcript is spliced from 3 exons.